Prionailurus viverrinus (fishing cat) is the source of this 6671-nucleotide long non-coding RNA. RefSeq lists it as uncharacterized. The transcript has 7 exons. The record is from RefSeq and is a predicted model, not a curated record. NCBI's taxonomy places the organism in Eukaryota, Metazoa, Chordata, Mammalia, Carnivora, Felidae.
UCAAUGACUCAUGACAAGUCAUAACUUCCGCCGUCAGAAAGGGAAGCUCUGGCACGUCCAGGAGCCGAGCAACAGCCAAGCCCAGGAACUGGACACGCAUGCCCCGGAAACGGGGAGAAAGUUCCGCAGGGCUGCUGGUUCCUGGAGCUGGCGCCCAGGCUUCCUUCCGAGCGCUCGGGUUCAAGAGGAGAAGAGCCACGAGCUGGAAGGAGCCGUGUGGAUUUGGGAGGUCCCGGACCCUGCAGAGGGGGACCUGGGGGGCAGGGCUGACAGAGGAGACCGCACACCCCUGUGCUGCGGAAAGUGGGUGGUUCUACGGGGCCCCCGGUGGCCUCACUCACUGUCCUCCGUCGCUCUGAAUGUUUCCCAGCCCCUCUGAGCGCACACAGAAGGGAACGUGCGGGUCUCAAAAUCUCCCCGACUGGCUGCCCUGUCUGCCUGCUCCCCCCGGAUCAGGUGGGUGCUAAGGUCAAGGGCAGGGUCUGAGACCCCAGUGUGGUUGUCCUGGACCAGAAACAGCUGUAGAACCCAGACCCAAUACAGGUGAGCAGGAGGAGAGCCACCAGGGCUUGACCCAGAGGAGGCCCCCCUCCCAGAAGGCAGUUACAGAAACAGCCUGGGUAUCGACAGAAUCGUAUUAACGCACUUCACCUUGACCCUGCCUACUGAUAAUGUGUUUCUUAAGAUUAUCCUUAAUAAUCAUACCUCAGGGUUGGGGGUCGGAGGUGCCCACGGGGAAUCCUGGAGGACUGCUUCCCACCCUGAGGCCCUCGAGGGCUUCUGGCUAACAUGGAGCAUCAGCCUCACCCUCUCCCUUCCGGAACCUUCGCGGAGCGGGGCGAUGCCCCAGGAGCGGCACGGAGAACCCGGGCUCGGAGCCCCAUCUGGCCUUUUACAGGAGAGGCGCGCCGACCCCGGGCUUGCGGCAGACGCGGCUUCCCAGAGGAUGGAGAUGGGAGCUCUCCCAUCCAGCUGCGAGCCGCAGAUGCAGGCCCCAGGCUUCCUGAACAUUCUGUGGGAACAAGAGGCUUGCACGGGCAGAGGCCGCCCUCCUGUCCCAGGGUGGAGGACGCCCAGCAGCGAGGCAGGACUCCACGCGGAAGAAACGUUGAGAGGCUCUCAAAGUUGGCGCGAAGCGAGGCCCAAGCCGCCACUUGGAGUUUCUGCCUCCAGCCUCUGGGCUCCGCUGGGUGUUCGGCCUCCCCCGAGAUGCGCCUCGAAACCGCCUUCUGGAGAGUGGCCUUGAAAUCGCCUUCCAGAGAGCGGCUGGAACAUUAGGAACCACACGACAGGUGUCGAUGGAGGCAGCUGUCUGGGUGGGGAUCCUCAGCUAUGGAGCUCGGGCCCCCAAACUGUCCUCUGGCGAUUUCACUUCACGAUGAUGUGGGCUGGGGGGGUUACCCUGCGGCCCCAACCGCUGCCUGUGCCGCCUCAGCCACAGCAACACCUACCUCACAGGCACCUGCAGGGUGAGUACCGGCCAAAGACAGAGGCCAAAGCCCCUGCUUUCCCCCCCGCACCCCUGCGCACCGUGCAGUCUUCUCCCACGUCGCCUCGCCCUGCUCUGCAAAGGUGGCCAGCACGUGUGCAGGUCCUGGGGCCGUGUCACCGUCUGAAGAAGAGGAGAACCUUGCCUGGUUCUGAGAACCGGCUCUGAACCCCACCGCUGUCCUGGGGCCUGCGUCCAGGAAAAGUGUGCACAUCUCCCUCCUUCCUCUCCGUGGUCCUGGUUUCCCUGCAGCUGGAACAAGCCACUGAGUUCACAGACCCUGGAGGCAUCUGGACCGGAAGGCGCUCGGAUGAGCCCGGAGACCACGGCAAGAGCGCCUGCCGGCCUGGACGCGAUUGCCGCAGCCCGGCAGCCCCGACGGGCGUGGAUGGCCCCCGGAUGCUCGCUGGCUGUGCGUGCACCUGUCAGUUUAAUGUGACGAGGUCACCGUCUGUGUGCGGGGUGCACUCGGGAAGAUGACCCCCAUUAGCUCAGGGGGGACAGUGCAGCACAGAGCGCAUGCGGCUCCCUGGGCCGUGGUGGGGGCGCAGGAUGGCGUUCCGGGUGGGCGGGCUCCUGGGCGAAGACGCCACGUUUCGCUAAGGACACCGCUCACCUGGACUCCCGGCCGGCCUCAGCUCGCCCCGCCAUUCCCUCCCCAGGCCAGCUUCUGGAACAAGCCCCUGGGAAGGCGGAGCAAGACGAGACCCCCGUUCUGGCUGACCCUUUGCCUGGACUCUCGUCUCGGCUGGGCCAUGACCCCUCUUCCCGGGCGGCUGCCACAGCGUCCCUUUUGCCCGCAGAAACAGACGGCCGUCCAGGGAGGUACAAAAGGUCCCUUCUCUGACCUCCGGUGUGGGGUGUUGUGCUUGGCCUCGCGGGCUUCAUGACGGCACAUUCGUGUGCGUAACGGACACAGUUGACCCUUCAGAAACAUGCGGUUUGGGAGCGCCGGCCCCCCGAAAAGCUGAGUAUAACUUUCGACCCCUCCCCAAACUUAACUAACAGCCUGCUGUUGACGGAAGCCCUACCGGUCACCGAAACAGUCGGUUUACACAGAGCUUGCGGGGUACGUGUAUCAUGUCGUAUGAUCUUACGAUAAGGUCCGCUAGGGGAAAGAAAACGAUACGAAGAGAAUCACAGGGAAGAGGAAAUACCGUAACGCACUGCCUUGAAUGAGGAAAAGACCCGCGUAUAAGUGGGCCCGCCAAGCCCCUGUGGUUCAAGCAUCCGCCGUAGAACCCUGUCAGUGGGGGCUGCUCGGGGGUUGCAGGUUAAAGCAGAAGGUUUGGGGGGCCCGUCCCCCACUGCACACUUGAGACGUUUUGUUUCCGAAGGCAAACGUAUUCGUGGACCUUCAUGGGUUUCCCUCCCUUCCCUGGAAACUCUGUGCUUCUGUUCCCUGGGACGGUGCAUGUGGCCGUGGACAGGGCCUCCCCCGGGCUCUCCUUCGAGGAGGGACGUCCUCAGAUCGGACCAGCGUCACCAGCACGGGGGCGGCCUCCUGGCGGGAGAUUCUUUUUUUGUCUUGUUUUUCCCUAAUGCAUAAAGGUUUAUUUGAAUAAAACUGUAAAACUCACAUGUAGCCAAGAGGCCACAUCUCAAAACAGAACCGGAGGAGGAGUGCAGGAGGCCCCAGACCAGCACCUGUGCUCAGAGCCCCCCCGGGAGCCAGAGACUCGGGACACAGCCGCCCGCCCGCAGGAGGCUUUCCGCGGCCAGCGAGGGGAUUUGGCCGUUGCCCUCACCAAGCCGCUCCCAGAGCUGGGCCCCGAUCCAGUUUCCAGGGCCCGCUUUUGGGCCCACGGGUCCCGUUCGCCUUUCGGCGUCGGCCGAUAAGAGUGAGCGGCAGACCCCGUCACGGUCCGUCCCUGAGCUCCGCGCUGUCACAGUCCUGCCUCCCCGAGCACCUCUGCUCAGCAGCUCACGCCUGAAAGACACCACAAUCUUUUUACCCAAUUUUCCAGCUGAGUUGACUGGGGCCGGCAAAGGUCAAGGAGCUUGCCCAGGGUCACUGAGUAAAACAGCCAAGCCUCUGGCCUCAGGACAAGGACGCGGGACUCCGGUUCCCCUUCCUGACCGCUUAACCAGAGGCUCCUUCAUAAAUAAUGGCCAUAACGGGGCUUCACUCUGUCUUUGGCGGGCAGGCGGUGCAGGCAGCCACCGGGGCUGUGGUCCCCGUGCACCGCCGAGCCCUCGCGGGGCUGCAGGCCGCCCGGCCCCGUGCACUCCCGGGACGGAGUUGGUCGCGGGCGUCCCAAGACCUGGAGAGACAGUCCGACGGUGGGUCGGUCGGUGGGCACAUGCGACCGCGGCUGAUUACUCAUCACUGACAGUUAUUAGCCUAUUAUGAAACGUAUGAAUUGUGUCUUUCAUACCACAUCCCUGUCCUUAAAGUGCCUUAUUAACUGACGUUAACCAAUCCAAUUAGCAAAAGACACUGUAUUCGCGUAAUUAGUAAUUUGAGGCUUUGUCCCGUCUUGGUCUUAAAGAGAAAGGCACUGGCCUAUGAUUGGAGCAGCACCACACAAUUAAGUGAAGUGCUCACCGAUCAGCGGGGGACACACUCCAUCCCUGGGGUCCCGCCCGGGACCUGGCUCUGCGCGGGCGCCGGGGUUCGCGUGUGUGGAGUUCAAGUGCACCCGCACUGCUCCUCUCUGCUGCUGGCCUGGCCUGCUACACCAGGACGGGAGAUGUUUAUUUUUCUUAUAAACUGAGAGGCCAAGCAGUGAGGAACCUGGUUAUUAAACACUCCGAGCCCAAUUCUGCAGAAAAUCAAAAAAAUCCAACUUUGAGGAUUGAUUGCAAGUUUUUUUUUCUAAUCGGACGCCAAAAGGAACAUUGUGGGGAAAGAUGUCUCAGGGCGGUCCUCCUCCAGGCAGCUUUUCUGUUUACGUCUCCGAGCGAGCAGUUAGGUUUCGGAGACGCGAAGACGGCCUCCACGGGGCCAGAUGUUCUAGAUAAGACCUUCGGGCUGCGGGCCGCGUGUGUGCACAGCGCAUCCACCCCCAGAGCCGGCUGCGGCCUCGUCGGAAUGAUCGGGCUGCGGGACGUCCGCCGGGAGAGCCCGUGUUGGAAGUGACCGCAGCACGACGUGACUGGGGCCCUUCUGCUUUGCCCGCGGGACAGUCCUACCGGCCUAUAAAGCCGCGGACUAUGCUCUCUUUAUUUGUAUGUAUUUUGUUCAUCAGGAGGCUUAGCGCACUCGGAACAGGGGUUCCCCCGACGACCCCCUGCCAGCCGUCCCUGGUUCUGGACGGGAAGGAAGGCCGUCUGGCCCUGGUUCCUAGCACCUGAGCUGCCUGAAGGAGGCAGCCGCCGUUUCACGACACGUCCUUGAACCUGCCCAUCCGCCUGGCACUGUCCCCACUCCGCAGGCCAAGCCUUGUCCCGGAAGGGGCCACCGCAGGGAUCCAGGCUGGUUACGGCUAUCACCCCUGCGGCACGGACGCGGGAGAAUCACCCCCACCAAAUGCGCUCGGCUCCUCCAGAGGGAAAAAGGUGGCCCUUGAGGGUCGAUGGCCGGGUCUGCGCCCUGCCCACACGUCUGGCUGUCCCCGGGGCUUGUCUGUGCUCUGGGAGCCUGUCCUUGGCGAUCAGACACUUCGGGGGGUCGCGCCUGGGUUUCCCACUUUGAGUCCAGAUGCCGACUUCGUUCCGGCGCCCAUUUUGGACGCAGCCUUUUUUUUGCCUCCUUCGAGUAGGAUUCUCAUUGUUUUGUUUUGUUUUUUUUUCCGUUCCGUGUCAAAGGAAAGUUCAGAUCUGAACGCCUGAAAGCAUCGUCUUUCCUGAUUCUCCCCGUGCGUGCGUGUGCCCGUCGGCCGGGGCAGACGGGAGGAGCCCGCGCGGUGCUCACGGGAGGCGGGACGGGCGAGGAGACCCUGGCUGCAAACAUUUCAGAAACCUCUUCAAAAUAUCUGGGUUUGUCAAAAUCCCAAACCACCGUUUGCCAGGCACUUUUCCCGCUAGUGUUUGAGCCCGCGGGUAUUUUAAAGGAAAUGAAAUCCGUGUGUUUCUGAUUUAUUUAUACUUAACUCAUCAAAAUGCUGUUUUAAAGAGCUAUUUUGUGUCCAAAAUGCCCUUUAUGCCUUUUUCCCUUCCAAACUAAAAGCCAUAUUUUGCCAAGUGUAUGUGACCUUAAACGCUAACAUUUUUCAAGGCUCUUUGGAAAAUCAGGUUCACCUAGCCCACGCAGACCUGCACGGGACCGAACGGUGUCCCCCAACACAACUCCCCCCGCAGGAACUAACGGUGUCCCCAGGACACACGACUCCCCCCCAGGAACUAACGUUCCCUCCCACAUGCUACUCCCGCCCCGGAACUAACAAUGUCCCCACGACACACGACUCCCCCCCCAGGAACUAAUGGUGUCCCCCCGACACACAACUCCCCCCCCAGCAACUAACAGUGUCCCUCCCACACACAACUCCCCCCCAGAACUAACGAUGUCCCCACGACACACGACUCCCCCCCCCAAGAACUAACGGUGUCCCCCCACAGACAACUCCCCCCCCCAGCAACUAACGGUGUCCCCCCGACCCACGACUCCCCCCCCAGGAACUAAUGGUGUCCCCACGACACACGACUCCCCCCACCCAGGAACUAACAGUGUCCCCCCCCCACACAACUCCCCCCCCAGGAACUAACAAUGUCCCCACGACACACGACGUCCCCCCCCGGAACUAACAGUGUCCCCCUGACACAUGACUCCCCCCCAGGAACUAACGGUGUCUCCCCGACACACGACCUCCCCCCCCAGCAACUAACGGUGUCCCCCCAACACACGACUCCCCCUCACCCAGGGGAAACCCAGUGACCAGCUGCGGAAGUGAUUACCCUUUGGCCUUACCGGCUUUUUGCUCUGACCCAGAGCACCCCACCCCGAGCCCAGAGCCCCUGAGAUGCUGUGCCUGAUGGCCUGAUGGCAAGGAGCAAACUCUCCAGAGACGAGAAUCCCCAGGUCGUGAUUUUAUGGUCUCUCUCCCAGCAUUCUUGCUGGGCCAGCUCAGGGUCAUCUCGAGGUGGGCCCCCGCUUGCCCCAGUGGUAAGGGGCUCCCUCCCCAGGAGGGCAGCCAAGCUCGCUCUCUGGUCCUGUGGAGCCCAGCUACCCGCAGGCUUAACUCGUCGGCCUCCCGGUCCCCGGGGGCCUGGCUGAUGCAGGCGCUAGGUGAGCCAAGGCAGA